This 391-nucleotide ribosomal RNA is filed under the name uncultured Oscillatoria sp. RNAcentral describes it as "bacterial SSU rRNA". It matches the Rfam family "Bacterial small subunit ribosomal RNA", at positions 376 to 770 of the family's 1533-position model. The record is from RNAcentral. Lineage: Bacteria; Bacillati; Cyanobacteriota; Cyanophyceae; Oscillatoriales; Oscillatoriaceae.
CGAAAGCCUGACGGAGCAAGACCGCGUGGGGGAAGAAGGCUCUUGGGUUGUAAACCCCUUUUCUCUGGGAAGAAAGUUGUGAAAGCAACCUGACGGUACCAGAGGAAUCAGCAUCGGCUAACUCCGUGCCAGCAGCCGCGGUAAGACGGAGGAUGCAAGCGUUAUCCGGAAUGAUUGGGCGUAAAGCGUCCGCAGGUGGCAGUUCAAGUCUGCUGUCAAAGACCGGGGCUUAACUUCGGAAAGGCAGUGGAAACUGAACAGCUAGAGUAUGGUAGGGGCAGAGGGAAUUCCUGGUGUAGCGGUGAAAUGCGUAGAGAUCAGGAAGAACAUCGGUGGCGAAGGCGCUCUGCUGGACCAUAACUGACGCUCAUGGACGAAAGCUAGGGGAGCG